GCUGGGUGUGGUGGCAGGUACCUGUAAUCCCAGCUACUUGGGAGGCUGAGGCAGGAGAAUCACUUGAACCCAGGAGAUGGAGGUUGCAGUGAGCCAAGAUCAUGCCACUGCAUUCCAGCCUGGGUGACAGAGUGAGAUUCUGUCUCAA
This 148-nucleotide non-coding RNA is filed under the name Chlorocebus sabaeus (green monkey). The record is from Rfam by way of RNAcentral. Lineage: Eukaryota; Metazoa; Chordata; Mammalia; Primates; Cercopithecidae.